CCUACGGGAGGCAGCAGUGAGGAAUAUUGGUCAAUGGACGCAAGUCUGAACCAGCCAUGCCGCGUGCAGGAAGACGGCUCUAUGAGUUGUAAACUGCUUUUGUACGAGGGUAAACUCAGAUACGCGUAUCUGUCUGAAAGUAUCGUACGAAUAAGGAUCGGCUAACUCCGUGCCAGCAGCCGCGGUAAUACGGAGGAUUCAAGCGUUAUCCGGAUUUAUUGGGUUUAAAGGGUGCGUAGGCGGUCGGAUAAGUUAGAGGUGAAAUCCCGAGGCUCAACUUCGGAAUUGCCUCUGAUACUGUUAGGCUAGAGAGUAGUUGCGGUAGGCGGAAUGUAUGGUGUAGCGGUGAAAUGCUUAGAGAUCAUACAGAACACCGAUUGCGAAGGCAGCUUACCAAGCUACAUCUGACGUUGAGGCACGAAAGCGUGGGGAGCAAACAGGAUUAGAUACCCCUGUAGUC
RNAcentral lists this ribosomal RNA (460 nucleotides) under uncultured bacterium. Its description in RNAcentral is "partial 16S ribosomal RNA". It matches the Rfam family "Bacterial small subunit ribosomal RNA", at positions 338 to 795 of the family's 1533-position model. The record is from RNAcentral.